GACAGAGGGGGCAAGCGUUGCUCGGAAUCACUGGGCGUAAAGGGCGCGUAGGCGGGAUGGCAAGUCGGUCGUGAAAUCCUUCGGCUCAACCGAAGAACGUCGGCCGAUACUGCCGUUCUUGAGGGAUGCAGAGGAGAUUGGAAUUCCCGGUGUAGCGGUGAAAUGCGUAGAUAUCUGGAGGAACACCGGUGGCGAAGGCGGCAUCCUGGACCGGUAUUGACGCUGAGGCGCGAAAGCCAGGGGAGCAAACGGG
This 253-nucleotide ribosomal RNA is filed under the name uncultured bacterium. Its description in RNAcentral is "partial 16S ribosomal RNA". It matches the Rfam family "Bacterial small subunit ribosomal RNA", at positions 524 to 776 of the family's 1533-position model. The record is from RNAcentral.